Hevea brasiliensis (rubber tree) is the source of this 2136-nucleotide long non-coding RNA. RefSeq lists it as uncharacterized. The transcript has 6 exons. The record is from RefSeq and is a predicted model, not a curated record. Lineage: Eukaryota; Viridiplantae; Streptophyta; Magnoliopsida; Malpighiales; Euphorbiaceae.
GUAGAAACUAAUUUCAUUUAUUUCAAGAAUAAUCAAGCAUCCUCUGGGUUUUUUUUUUUUAUUUUUUUUUCUCUUUUAUGAGAUGUCAUGAAGUGUUCAAAAAAUCCUCUGCACGCUAAACCCAUAACCAUAUCAGAUGGAAGGCAAUGAGAACACCACCCAAAAGGUGCACAAGAGCAGAUUACUACAAAAUUUUGGAGGUCGAUUAUGAUGCAACAGAUGAGAAGAUAAGAUUAAAUUACCUAAAGCUUGCACUGGUUAGUGGUGCAUCUACUAUGAGCAGCUUCUUAUAAGUGGCAUCCUGAUAAACAUGAGGGUGAUAGUGCUGUUACUGCUAAAUUUCAAGAGAUCAAUGAAGCUUACAGAGGCAAUCCUUAGUCAUGAUAAGCAUGAAAGUCCACAUUCCCCAUGUGAUAUGAUGCAUAUUGCUUCUAGUGCAUCAAUCAGCGAAAUUUAGUCUGUGGUUCUUGCCUCUUUACAAGGAUUACACUUUACAGUGUUGAGUGAUCCAGCUGAACGCUCUGACUACAAUUUAACUGGAAUACAUGAGAUCAAUAAGUACACUUUGCAGGAAUAUCUUGCCAGAUUUAAAGGAAUGAUAAUCACCUGCAAUGGGCUUGGUAUCAGUCAUAAAUCAAUAUGGUAAUCUUUUCAUGACUUUCUGUCAUGAUUUUAGGUUCAAAGAGUGCUUACUUGAAAAUGGAAGAGCAGAAUAUGGUAAUCCUUUCAUGACUUUCUGUCUUGGUUUAUCACUUAAUCUUUUUCGUUCUUAGUCUUGAUGGUUAAUAGUGCGGCACUUUUAGUUUAGCAAACAGAUAAACUUGAAUCUAUGCCUCUAUCACCAAACCAAUAAACCUUUAUUUCCUAGUUUAUGCAGUUCCUUUUUAUCCUGCUUUGUUACAAAAAUUUAAAAAGGAACGGAAAGUAAACUUGGGAACUGGCUAGAAAAUGCUUUCUUAACCUAUUAAUGCUUCUCAUAGUUAAUUAUUGCCAAGGUUUGGCAUGAGGAAAUGGAUUUGAAUGGACUAUAAGUUAGUUAUUGAUGCGUAUUGAUCUGAACCAAACAGCUUUUAAGAGCAAACGAAAAAAAAAUAAAUAAAUAAAUAGAAGAAAAAGAAGAAGAAGAAGCAAGCUUGUAAGAGGACACUAUAGCAGAAACGUGGUUUAGGUUCCAUUCAAUUGACGCUUGCCCAGAUUAAAGCUGUUUUCAUUUUCUUUAGACAACUAAUCUAGAGCUGUGGAUUGAAUUGAACUGAGGUUCUUCAUUAGGAGUUAUCUCACUGUUUCUGAUUAUUCUCAUGAUACCAAAGUCGACUUAAGCUAGCCCAGCUUAUUCAAAAUAUUUGGUGGCUCCUUUGACCCAUCUGUGAAGGGUCAAGAUUAAGGGAACAGCUGGAACACCAUAAAAAAUUUUCACUGUAUACUUUACAUUAGCACUCACAAUCUUUAUAAUACUGCAGGACACAGCAACUGACUGAAGCCAAUGAAUUUGUAGAACAAUAAGAAGUCCAACAAAUUGGGUCACUCCGGAUCCUCACUCCUUUCCAAUUCCACGAACUCUCCACCCUCCAAUCUCUGCCUUUGCUCACCCCGAAUAUAAAAAUAACCUAUUGGAUUUUGAUUCCGCUUCAAUCUCUGAAUCCUUCGUCUUGCUUCCAAAUCAAUUACCAGGCAAUGGUAGUAUUCAAAAUGAGUCCCAUAAGAGGAAGAGUUCGCUAGCUUGUGCGCAAUUGAAGGGAAGGAAGGAUUAAGGAGCGAAAAGUGGAUCCUCUGGUGGAUCAAAUCUUCAAUGUAGGUAGUGAGGUUGCUACUGUUUUAUAUGUGUUGCUUGAUAUUGGGUGGUCAAUUUGUGCAGAAUCUGAAGCUGUUUAUGUUAACAUAUGGAGCGAUUGUACGCUAAUUGCUUACAAAUCUAGAGGAGGUUGAAGAAGUUAACAAAUAGCUAAAUCAAAUUUAUGUGAAGCUUAUAUUUUGUGUCCAUUGUUUUUGGUAGAGCUGUGACACGUUAAGGAGAGGUUAUGAACCAAGUCUGUGGCUGUUGGCCUUUAUUUUAGGUGGUUGGUUGUCGAGAAAUUGAAAGAAAAUAUGAAUUUUUGUGUUUGGCUGCACAGAAAUUGAAGAAAAUUUGAAUGCUUA